Molecule: non-coding RNA, 114 nt
Organism: Acanthosepion pharaonis
Lineage: Eukaryota; Metazoa; Mollusca; Cephalopoda; Sepiida; Sepiidae
Source: the annotation of a GenBank genome assembly
CUUACGGCCAUAACAAGUUAAAAAAACCGGUUCUAGUCCGAUCACCGAAUAUAAACAAGAUCGGGUCUGAUCAAUACCUAGAUGGGUGAUCACUUGGGAAUACAAGGUACUGUA